RNAcentral lists this ribosomal RNA (497 nucleotides) under uncultured bacterium. Its description in RNAcentral is "partial 16S ribosomal RNA". It matches the Rfam family "Bacterial small subunit ribosomal RNA", at positions 28 to 507 of the family's 1533-position model. The record is from RNAcentral.
GAUGAACGCUGGCGGCGUGCCUAAUACAUGCAAGUCGAGCGAACAGACGAGGAGCUUGCUCCUCUGACGUUAGCGGCGGACGGGUGAGUAACACGUGGAUAACCUACCUAUAAGACUGGGAUAACUUCGGGAAACCGGAGCUAAUACCGGAUAAUAUAUUGAACCGCAUGGUUCAAUAGUGAAAGACGGUUUUGCUGUCACUUAUAGAUGGAUCCGCGCCGCAUUAGCUAGUUGGUAAGGUAACGGCUUACCAAGGCGACGAUGCGUAGCCGACCUGAGAGGGUGAUCGGCCACACUGGAACUGAGACACGGUCCAGACUCCUACGGGAGGCAGCAGUAGAGAAUCUUCCGCGAUGGGCGAGAGCCUGACGGAGCAAAGCCGCGUGAGUGAUGAAGGUCUCCGGAUCGUAAAACUCUGUGAUUAGGGAAGAACAAAUGUGUAAGUAACUAUGCACGUCUUGACGGUACCUAAUCAGAAAGCCACGGCUAACUACGUG